AUACGAAGGGUGCAAGCGUUACUCGGAAUUACUGGGCGUAAAGCGUGCGCAGGCGGUUUUGUAAGACAGUUGUGAAAUCCCCGGGCUCAACCUGGGAACUGCCAUUGUGACUGCAAGGCUGGAGGGCCGCAGAGGGGGAUGGAAUUCCGCGUGUAGCAGUGGAAUGCGUAGAUAUGCGGAGGAACACCGAUGGCGAAGGCAAUCCCCUGGGCCUGCACUGACGCUCAUGCACGAAAGCGUGGGGAGCAAACAGGAUUAGAUACCCUGGUAGUCCACGCCCUAAACGAUGUCAACUGGUUGUUGGAAAUUUAUUUUCUCAGUAACGAAGCUAACGCGUGAAGUUGACCGCCUGGGGAGUACGGCCGCAAGGUUAAAACUCAAAUGAAUUGACGGGG
RNAcentral lists this ribosomal RNA (395 nucleotides) under uncultured bacterium. RNAcentral's name for it is "partial 16S ribosomal RNA". It matches the Rfam family "Bacterial small subunit ribosomal RNA", at positions 523 to 918 of the family's 1533-position model. The record is from RNAcentral.